This 21-nucleotide non-coding RNA is filed under the name Arabidopsis thaliana (thale cress). Lineage: Eukaryota; Viridiplantae; Streptophyta; Magnoliopsida; Brassicales; Brassicaceae. The record is from RNAcentral.
AUUCAUAUGAACCAGAUACCA